ACUCCUACGGGAGGCAGCAGUAGGGAAUCUUCCACAAUGGGCGCAAGCCUGAUGGAGCAACACCGCGUGAGUGAAGAAGGGUUUCGGCUCGUAAAGCUCUGUUGUUAAAGAAGAACACGUAUGAGAGUAACUGUUCAUACGUUGACGGUAUUUAACCAGAAAGUCACGGCUAACUACGUGCCAGCAGCCGCGGUAAUACGUAGGUGGCAAGCGUUAUCCGGAUUUAUUGGGCGUAAAGAGAGUGCAGGCGGUUUUCUAAGUCUGAUGUGAAAGCCUUCGGCUUAACCGGAGAAGUGCAUCGGAAACUGGAUAACUUGAGUGCAGAAGAGGGUAGUGGAACUCCAUGUGUAGCGGUGGAAUGCGUAGAUAUAUGGAAGAACACCAGUGGCGAAGGCGGCUACCUGGUCUGCAACUGACGCUGAGACUCGAAAGCAUGGGUAGCGAACAAGAUUAGAUACCCCUGGUAGGAUAGCG
This 474-nucleotide ribosomal RNA is filed under the name uncultured bacterium. RNAcentral's name for it is "bacterial SSU rRNA". It matches the Rfam family "Bacterial small subunit ribosomal RNA", at positions 335 to 801 of the family's 1533-position model. The record is from RNAcentral.